GACGAACGCUGGCGGCGUGCUUAAUACAUGCAAGUCGAACGGAAAGGCCCUGCUUUCACGGUUCUCGCGUUGCGAACGGGCGAGUAACACGUGGGUGAUCUGCCCUCCACUUCGGGAUAAGCAUGUUCAACAGGGUCUAAUUCCGGCUAGGUGCUAUUUUUAGUGGCAUGGUUGGAUAGUUUUUUCGGUGUUGGCUGAGCUCGCUGCCUAUCAGCUCGUUGGGGGGGUGAUGGCCUACCAAGGCGGCUACGGGUGGCCGGCCUGAGUGGGUGGACGGCCACACUGGGACUGAGAGACGGCCCAGACUCGUACGGGAGCGAGCAGUGGGGAAGCUUGAAGAAGGGGCGCAAGCCUGAUGCAGAGACGCCGCGGGGGGGAGGACGGCCUUAGGGUUGUAAAAGCAUUUCGCAAGGGACGAAGCUUUUUGUGACGGUACCUAGACAAGAAGCACCGGCUAACUACGUG
RNAcentral lists this ribosomal RNA (465 nucleotides) under uncultured bacterium. RNAcentral's name for it is "partial 16S ribosomal RNA". It matches the Rfam family "Bacterial small subunit ribosomal RNA", at positions 28 to 507 of the family's 1533-position model. The record is from RNAcentral.